This 497-nucleotide ribosomal RNA is filed under the name uncultured bacterium. RNAcentral's name for it is "partial 16S ribosomal RNA". It matches the Rfam family "Bacterial small subunit ribosomal RNA", at positions 28 to 507 of the family's 1533-position model. The record is from RNAcentral.
GAUGAACGCUGGCGGCGUGCCUAAUACAUGCAAGUCGAGCGGACGGACGAGCAGCCUCCUGCUCUGAUGUUAGAGUCGGACGGCUAAGGAACACGUAGAUAACCUACCUAUAAGACUCAGAUAACUUCGGGAAACCGGAACUAAUACCUGAUAAUAUUUUGAACCGCAUGGUUCAACCGUGAAAGACAGUCUUGCUGUCACUUAUAGAGGAUUCCGCGCUGCAGUAUCUGGUUGGUAAGGUAAGGGUUUACCAAGGCAACGAUGCAUAGCCGACCUCAGAGGGAGAUGGUCGACAGUGGCAUUGGGACUGGGACCCGACCCCUACGCGAGGCAGAAGUAGGGAAUCUGCCGCAAGGGGCGAAAGCCUGACGGAGAAACGGCGCGGGAGUGAUGAAGGUGUCGGGAUCCUAAAACUCUGCUCCUAGGGACGAAGAUAUGUGUACGUAGCUGUGCACAUCGUGACGGUACUUAAUCAGAAAGCCCCGGCUAACUACGUG